RNAcentral lists this ribosomal RNA (516 nucleotides) under uncultured bacterium. Its description in RNAcentral is "partial 16S ribosomal RNA". It matches the Rfam family "Bacterial small subunit ribosomal RNA", at positions 28 to 523 of the family's 1533-position model. The record is from RNAcentral.
GACGAACGCUGGCGGCGUGCCUAACACAUGCAAGUCGAACGGAGUUUCCAGCAAUGGAUUCUUAGUGGCGAACGGGUGAGUAACGCGUAGACAACCUACCUUCGAGAUGGGGACAACACUGCGAAAGAGGUGCUAAUACCGAAUGUUGUAACGAGCAUGCAUAUGCUUUUUACUAAAGAUGGCCUCUAUUUAUAAGCUAUCGAUAGAAGAUGGGUAUGCGUCUGAUUAGCUAGUUGGUGAGGUAACGGCUCACCAAGGCGACGAUCAGUAGCCGGUCUGAGAGGAUGAACGGCCACACUGGGACUGAGACACGGCCCAGACUCCUACGGGAGGCAGCAGUGGGGAAUCUUCCGCAAUGGACGAAAGUCUGACGGAGCAACGCCGCGUGAGUGAAGAAGGUUUUCGGAUCGUAAAACUCUGUUUUCAGGGACGAAUGUGCAGCUUGUAAAUAAUGAGUUGUAAUGACGGUACCUGAGUAGAAAGCCACGGCUAACUACGUGCCAGCCGCCGCGGUAA